AUUGAACGCUGGCGGCAGGCCUAACACAUGCAAGUCGAGCGGAUGAUGGGAGCUUGCUCCUGGAUUCAGCGGCGGACGGGUGAGUAAUGCCUAGGAAUCUGCCUAGUAGUGGGGGACAACGUUUCGAAAGGAACGCUAAUACCGCAUACGUCCUACGGGAGAAAGCAGGGGACCUUCGUGCCCUGCGGUAUCAGAUGAGCCUAGGUCGGAUUAGCUUGUUGGUGAGGUAAUGGCUCACCAAGGCGACGAUCCGUAACUGGUCUGAGAGGAUGAUCAGUCACACUGGAACUGAGACACGGUCCAGACUCCUACGGGAGGCAGCAGUGGGGAAUAUUGGACAAUGGGCGAAAGCCUGAUCCAGCCAUGCCGCGAGUGUGAAGAAGGUCUUCGGAUUGUAAAGCACUUUAAGUUGGGAGGAAGGGUCGUAGAUUAAUACUCUGCAAUUUUGACGUUACCGACAGAAUAAGCACCGGCUAACUCUGUGCCAGCCGCCGCAGUAA
This 500-nucleotide ribosomal RNA is filed under the name uncultured bacterium. RNAcentral describes it as "partial 16S ribosomal RNA". It matches the Rfam family "Bacterial small subunit ribosomal RNA", at positions 30 to 523 of the family's 1533-position model. The record is from RNAcentral.